RNAcentral lists this ribosomal RNA (607 nucleotides) under uncultured marine bacterium. RNAcentral's name for it is "bacterial SSU rRNA". It matches the Rfam family "Bacterial small subunit ribosomal RNA", at positions 94 to 734 of the family's 1533-position model. The record is from RNAcentral.
AGUGGCAGACGGGUGAGUAACAUGUACCGUAUCUACCCUAUGGCCUGGAAUAACACGAGGAAACUUGUGCUAAUACUGGAAAAGUCUUUACGGAGAAAGCGUUAUGCACCAUUGGAUGAGCCUGCAUUUGAUUAGUUUGUUGGUGGGGUAAUGGCCUACCAAGACUUUGAUCAAUAGCUGAUUUGAGAGGAUGAUCAGCCACAUUGGGACUGAGACACGGCCCAAACUCCUACGGGAGGCAGCAGUGGGGAAUCUUGCACGAUGGAGGAAACUCUGAUGCAGCGAUGCCGCGUGAGUGAAGAAGGCCUUUGGGUUGUAAAGCUCUUUCGUCGGGGAAGAAAAUGACUGUACCCGAAUAAGAAGGUCCGGCUAACUUCGUGCCAGCAGCCGCGGUAAUACGAAGGGACCUAGCGUAGUUCGGAAUUACUGGGCUUAAAGAGUUCGUAGGUGGUUGAAAAAGUUGGUGGUGAAAUCCCAGAGCUUAACUCUGGAACUGCCAUCAAAACUUUUCAGCUAGAGUUUGAUAGAGGAAAGCACAAUUUCUAGUGUAGAGGUGAAAUUCGUAGAUAUUAGAAAGAAUACCCAUUGCGAAAGCAGCUUUCUGGAU